This 22-nucleotide non-coding RNA is filed under the name Arabidopsis thaliana (thale cress). The record is from RNAcentral. Lineage: Eukaryota; Viridiplantae; Streptophyta; Magnoliopsida; Brassicales; Brassicaceae.
GGCUCAGGUUGGAAGGAUUGGU